RNAcentral lists this ribosomal RNA (498 nucleotides) under Triticum aestivum (bread wheat). RNAcentral describes it as "partial small subunit ribosomal RNA". Lineage: Eukaryota; Viridiplantae; Streptophyta; Magnoliopsida; Poales; Poaceae. The record is from RNAcentral.
AUGUUGGGGAUCACGCCACCGUGGGCGAUGGUCACGCCAGCGAGCAGCCUGCCGAGCUCCUGGUCGUUGCGGACGGCGAGCAGCAGGUGGCGCGGGAUGAUGCGCGUCUUCUUGUUGUCCUUGGCAGCGUUGCCUGCAAGCUCCAGGACCUGCGAUUCAAAAGCACACAGAUGCAAAAUCAGUUAUCUGUCGAGCACGAGAAGAACAGAGCAGAAGAGAUGCUCGGGGACAGGAAAGAUGGGUACAUACCUCGGCGGCGAGGUACUCGAGGACGGCGGCGAGGUAGACGGGGGCGCCGGAGCCGACGCGCUGGGCGUAGCGGCCCUUCUUGAGGUAGCGCCCGAUGCGGCCGACGGGGAACUGGAGCCCGGCCUUUACGGAGCGGGUCACCGCCUUCUUCCUGUCGCCGCCCUUCCUUCCGGCCAUCUUGCUCCUUCUCCGGCGAACUGGAAACUACUCGAGAUGCGUCAGCGGCGGUGCUUGUUCGGAAUGCUCUGA